This 468-nucleotide ribosomal RNA is filed under the name uncultured bacterium. RNAcentral describes it as "partial 16S ribosomal RNA". It matches the Rfam family "Bacterial small subunit ribosomal RNA", at positions 28 to 507 of the family's 1533-position model. The record is from RNAcentral.
GACGAACGCUGGCGGCGUGCUUAACACAUGCAAGUCGAACGGAAAGGCCCUGCUUUUGUGGGGUUCUCGAUUGGCGAACGCGGGAGUAACACGUGAGGAACCUGCCCUUGUCUGUGUGAUAACUUCAGGAAACUGGGGCUAAUACCGGAGAGGAUCUCCUGCUGCAUGGGGGUGGUUGGAAAGUUUCGGCGGUGGGGGAUGGACUCGCGGCUUAUCAGCUUGUUGGGGGGGUAGGGGCUUACCAAGGCUUUGAAGGGUAGCCGGCCUGAGAGGGUGAACGGCCACAUUGGGACUGAGAUACGGCGCAGAAUCCUACGGGAGGCAGCAGUGGGGAAUAUUGCACAAUGGGCGGAAGCCUGAUGCAGCAACGCCGCGUGCGGGAUGACGGCCUUCGGGUUGUAAACCGCUUUCGCAUGUGACGAAGCGUGAGUGACGGUAAUGGGUAAAGAAGCACCGGCUAACUACGUG